UUUGCUUAAUAUUCUUAUAUAUGUAAAUACAGCACAAUUACAGUGUAACACAUAUUGGGUUGUCGUGCUUUCUGUUAUUAUCAGACAUAUUCAUCAAUCAUCAAUCAUCAUACAUUCAUACACAUAAUUACAUAUUAUCAGAAUAUAUUUGUCAGCUAAAAUAUACAGCUCAAAUAAACUAAUCGUCUGGUAAAAUACGGUUCUGCUAAUAAACUUGUCUACGUUAUUAUUUUUCUCCUGAAAUACAGAUCGAUAGAAAUAUUUUCGUUCAUUUAAGCGCUCCCUGUUCCCGUUAGUUGGAAGACAUUGUUGCCGCCGCCGAUCAAGACUCUGUCGCAUUUCAAGCGUGGAUGAGGACGCCAGUUGCUGGUCAGGCCAUUCCGCCAUAAAUAUUAUAAAAUAAUGUCCAAGCGCAUUAUGUAUUGAUCAUAUCGAAUUUUAUUAAGUCUAAUGGAAUAUGGAGGUGUUUAAAUAUCAAAUUGAUAUUGGAAAGACGUGUGUAAAAAAAGGAUGUUGAAUAAAUGGGAGGUAUCUCCAAUUGGAGUUCUCUAGAACUGGAUAGACAAGGAUGCGAGCUUGGUUGUGAGACGCAAUGGUCUUAAAGGCCCAAUAAACCCUAAGAAGAAGAAGAAGAAGAAGAAGAAGAAGAAGAAUUGUGUAACAAACAGUUUAUUUAUUUUAUUUUAUGGGGUCACCUACUGCACAAUUUGUCGGUUUUUACUACGG
Molecule: long non-coding RNA, 726 nt
Organism: Myzus persicae (green peach aphid)
Lineage: Eukaryota; Metazoa; Arthropoda; Insecta; Hemiptera; Aphididae
Exons: 5
Source: RefSeq, a predicted model, not a curated record